Brienomyrus brachyistius is the source of this 688-nucleotide long non-coding RNA. RefSeq lists it as uncharacterized. Lineage: Eukaryota; Metazoa; Chordata; Actinopteri; Osteoglossiformes; Mormyridae. The transcript has 4 exons. The record is from RefSeq and is a predicted model, not a curated record.
UCUGCAGGAAACAGUGCAUUCUACAGCUCAUUUCAAAUAAAACGCAGGGCUUCCAACUUCGGUCAGCUGACUGGAGUGAGAUUUUCAAUUCGAGACAAGUCUGCAUGCAAACGCAUUUACAUAGCAUGGACAUACGCGUACACUUUAUGACAGCGUCUCGUUCUCUGCGGCGCAGUUCUGGAGAGUUAUUCCCUGCCUUGUGCCUGCUGCUUCUGGGAUAGACCCCCAUGGGAACUCCAGGACCCUGCGUAGCAUAACGGAGCAUAGAAAAUGGAUGGAUGGAUUGGUGGAAAAAUUAAAUACACAAGAUGCACCUAGGAAGUUAAUAUACAGAAAGACAUAUGGAAGAAGAACACAUGGAAACUUCAAUCAAGGAGGCUUGAACCUGGGCCACUGGUGUUUUAUGGGUAAAAGUACUACCAUGUGCAAUUGUCACUUCUUUGGAGAAGGUUAAAUUAUGUCUCUUGUCAUUUUGUAGCUGUGUAUAUUGCUUUUAAUGAAAUGACACUGAAUAGAACCCAUUUGGAAUAUUUAUGAAACUAGCACUGCAUGAAAUUAGUUUUUGCUUAAUGUGCCUUUGCAUGAAUGCUUUUCUGAUACAAUGUAAUCUUAUAAGUGGACUGGAAUCAUAGAAUAGAACAGAGGAAAAAGAAAAAAAUGGCAAAAAAUUAAAUUAUUUUUGAACUAA